RNAcentral lists this ribosomal RNA (446 nucleotides) under uncultured bacterium. RNAcentral describes it as "bacterial SSU rRNA". It matches the Rfam family "Bacterial small subunit ribosomal RNA", at positions 330 to 793 of the family's 1533-position model. The record is from RNAcentral.
CCCAGACUCCUACGGGAGGCAGCAGUGGGGAAUAUUGCACAAUGGGGGAAACCCUGAUGCAGCGACGCCGCGUGAGUGAAGAAGUAUUUCGGUAUGUAAAGCUCUAUCAGCAGGGAAGAUAAUGACGGUACCUGACUAAGAAGCCCCGGCUAACUACGUGCCAGCAGCCGCGGUAAUACGUAGGGGGCAAGCGUUAUCCGGAUUUACUGGGUGUAAAGGGUGCGCAGGUGGCAGGGCAAGUCAGAUGUGAAAGCCCGGGGCUCAACCCCGGUAUUGCAUUUGAAACUGUCCGGCUAGAGUGCAGGAGAGGUAAGCGGAAUUCCUAGUGUAGCGGUGAAAUGCGUAGAUAUUAGGAGGAACACCAGUGGCGAAGGCGGCUUACUGGACUGUAACUGACACUGAGGCACGAAAGCGUGGGGAGCAAACAGGAUUAGAUACCCGUGUAA